Molecule: small RNA, 81 nt
Filed under: Oceanibacterium hippocampi
Lineage: Bacteria; Pseudomonadati; Pseudomonadota; Alphaproteobacteria; Sneathiellales; Sneathiellaceae
Description: Sneathiella sp. BFLP-8 Makes More Granules Regulator RNA (mmgR)
Rfam family: Makes More Granules Regulator RNA (mmgR)
About the family: SuhB later renamed mmgR (makes more granules regulator) was a putative non-coding RNA found multiple times in the Agrobacterium tumefaciens genome and related alpha-proteobacteria. Other non-coding RNAs uncovered in the same analysis include: speF, ybhL, metA, and serC. Several studies inSinorhizobium meliloti showed that suhB element is indeed a non-coding RNA:firstly it was detected on Northern blot and called Sm8RNA, secondly in an RNAseq study referred to as SmelC689.
Source: Rfam by way of RNAcentral
UGCCGCAGCCCUUAAUCGGGCGUUUCCUCCCUUGACUUGGGCUGCUUCCCGAAACGGAAGCAGCCCCUUUUUUUUGCCUGC